UAACUAAGUGUUUUAUGGCACUUUUUAAAUCCAUAUCCACCUCGUGUGCAAUGUCAGUCGAUCUUCUUCAUGGAGAUCGACCAAACAUCAACCUUUAUCUUUUAACUCUUUGUCUGAAAAAUAUUAUGAAUAAACAAUUCAAAAUA
Molecule: unclassified non-coding RNA, 146 nt
Filed under: soil metagenome
Description: partial internal transcribed spacer 1
Source: RNAcentral